RNAcentral lists this ribosomal RNA (402 nucleotides) under bacterium. Its description in RNAcentral is "partial 16S ribosomal RNA". It matches the Rfam family "Bacterial small subunit ribosomal RNA", at positions 355 to 776 of the family's 1533-position model. The record is from RNAcentral.
UGGGGAAUUUUGCACAAUGGGGGAAACCCUGAUGCAGCGACGCCGCGUGAUUUAGAAGGCCUUCGGGUUGUAAAAAUCUUUUUUACGGGAUGAAAAUGACAGUACCGUAAGAAUAAGGUCCGGCUAAAUACGUGCCAGCAGCCGCGGUAAUACGUAUGGACCGAGCGUUGUCCGGAAUCAUUGGGCGUAAAGGGUACGUAGGCGGCCUAGUAAGUUAGAAGUGAAAUAAUAUAGCUCAACUAUAUAAAGCUUUUAAAACUGCUAGGCUUGAGAGAUGGAAGGGAAAGUGGAAUUCCUAGUGUAGCGGUGAAAUGCGCAGAUAUUAGGAAGAAUACCGGUGGCGAAGGCGACUUUCUGGUCAUCAUCUGACGCUGAGGUACGAAAGCGUGGGUAGCAAACAGA